CAGAGCAGAGCUGCUUCACAUGCUCAGUGAUAACAGCUUCUUCUACCAAGUUUGCUGAGUGUGUGGAUCUGAGUCUUCCUUCGGCGCACUGGACCAGAGAGUAGCUACAAGGGAGAAUAGACAGGAGCCUUGCAUUAGGUGGAAGAAUGUGUGCUUAGAAAGUGCAGUACUGGUUGUAUUAUGUCUGUGUAUUUAUUAUGGCCCCCUCUACUGAACAGCGUGAACGGAAAGACCGCCUCCCCAUGUUGGAACUCCGGAUUGCCCAGGAACGUCUGAAACAAGGACUUGUGCCCCCCUAAAUUUCUAACGCGUCUGAGAAUAUGCCACAGGCGAUAUGUCGACCAAAGAAGAGGGUUAUCUUUCAAUUCCUGGUCGAAUUCCGCUUCCACCCCGUGAAGGAAAGAUAUUAGGUUUCUGGACCCUACAAAUUGUGCCUCCAGCUGUGUAUUAGCAUAAGUGUUACUAUCAUGUAACCAGUCUCUUAAAAAUCUCAAUAAAGAAGCAUGGUUGUA
This is a long non-coding RNA of Pseudophryne corroboree (corroboree frog), 512 nucleotides long. RefSeq lists it as uncharacterized. NCBI's taxonomy places the organism in Eukaryota, Metazoa, Chordata, Amphibia, Anura, Myobatrachidae. The record is from RefSeq and is a predicted model, not a curated record. The transcript has 2 exons.